Molecule: ribosomal RNA, 216 nt
Filed under: Glomeromycotina sp.
Lineage: Eukaryota; Fungi; Glomeromycota
Description: partial small subunit ribosomal RNA
Rfam family: Eukaryotic small subunit ribosomal RNA (bases 40-216)
Source: RNAcentral
GGGUCAGUAGGUUGGUCGUGCCACCGGUACGUACUGGUCUCACUGAUUCCUCCUUCCUGAAGUACCGUAAUGCCAUUAAUUUGGUGUUGCGGGGAAACAGGACUGUUACUUUGAAAAAAUUAGAGUGUUUAAAGCAAGCUAACGCUUGAAUACAUUAGUAUGGAAUAAUGAAAUAGGACGAUCGAUCCUAUUUUGUUGGUUUCUAGGAUUGACGUA